AUACUUACCUGGCAGGAGAUACGAUGCCAUGAUCAUGAAGAUGGUUUUCCCAAGACAAGACUUAUCCAUUGCACUUCAGAUGUGUUCACCCCUGACAUUUCCCCAAAUGUGGGAAACUCAACUACAUAAUUUAUGGAAAUGGGGACUGUGUUCACACCCUCUCCUG
Sorex araneus (European shrew) is the source of this 166-nucleotide small nuclear RNA. Its record names the gene U1. It matches the Rfam family "U1 spliceosomal RNA". Rfam says of the family: U1 is a small nuclear RNA (snRNA) component of the spliceosome (involved in pre-mRNA splicing). Its 5' end forms complementary base pairs with the 5' splice junction, thus defining the 5' donor site of an intron. The record is from Ensembl. NCBI's taxonomy places the organism in Eukaryota, Metazoa, Chordata, Mammalia, Eulipotyphla, Soricidae.